GGUGUCUGUGUCUGCGUCUGUCUCUGUGUCUGCGGUGUCUGUGUCUGCGUCUGUUUCUGUGUCUGCGUCUGCAUCUGCGUUUGUGUCUGCGUCUGCGUCUGCGUCUGCGUCUGUGUCUGUGUCUGUGUCUGUGUCUGUGUCUGUGUCUGUGUCUGUGUCUGUGUCUGUCUGUGUCUGCGUCUGCGUCUGUGUCUGUGUCUGUGUCUGUGUCUGUGUCUGUGUCUGUCUCUGUGUCUGUGUCUGCGGUGUCUGUGUCUGCGUCUGUGUCUGCGGUGUCUGUGUCUGCGUCUGUGUCUGUGUCUGUGUCUGCGGUGUCUGUGUCUGCGUCUGUCUCUGUCUCUGUGUCUGCGGUGUCUGUGUCUGCGUCUGCGUCUGUGUCUGUGUCUGUGUCUGUGUCUGUGUCUGUGUCUGCCUUUGUGUCUGUGUCUGCGUCUGUGUCUGCCUUUGUGUCUGUGUCUGCGCCUGUGUCUGUGUCUGCAUCUGCGUCUGCGUUUGUGUCUGUGUCUGUGUCUGUGUCUGUGUCUGUGUCUGUGUCUGUGUCUGUGUCUGUGUCUGUGUCUGUGUCUGUGUCUGUCUCUGUGUCUGUGUCUGCGGUGUCUGUGUCUGCGUCUGUGUCUGUGUCUGCGGUGUCUGUGUCUGCGUCUGUGUCUGUGUCUGUGUCUGUGUCUGUGUCUGUGUCUGCGGUGUCUUUGUCUGCGUCUGUCUCUGUCUCUGUGUCUGCGGUGUCUGUGUCUGCGUCUGUGUCUGUGUCUGUGUCUGCUUCUCUGUCUGUGUCUGUCUGUGUUUGCAUCUGCGUCUGCAUUUGUGUCUGUGUGUCUGUCUGUGUCUGUGUCUGUAUCUGCAUCUGCGUCUGCGUUUGUGUCUGUGUUCUGUCUCUGUGUCUGCAGUAUCUGUGUCUGCAGUGUCUGUGUCUGCAUCCGCAUCUGCAUCUGCGUCUGCGUUUGUGUCUGCGUCUGCGUCUGUGUCUCUGUCUGUGUCUGCGCCUGUGUCUGUGUGUCUGUCUGUGUCUGUCUGUGUCUGUGGUGUCUGUCUCUGUGUCUGCAGUGUCUAUGUCUGUGUCUGUGUCUGUGUCUGUGUCUGUGUCUGUGUCUGUGUGUCUGUCUGUGUUUGUCUGUGUCUGUGGUGUCUGCCUCUGUGUCUGUGUCUGCAGUGUCUGCAUCUGCAUCUGCAUCAGUGUCUGCGUUUGUGUCUGCGUCUGGGUCUGCGUCUGUCUGUGUCUGUGUCUGCGUCUGUGUCUGUGUCUGCUUCUCUGUCUGUGUCUGUCUGUGUUUGCAUCUGCGUCUGCAUUUGUGUCUGUGUGUCUGUCUGUGCCUGUGUCUUUGUCUGUGUCUGUGUCUGUCUGUGUCUGCGUCUGCGUCUGCGUUUGCGUCUGUGUCUGUCUGUGUCUUUGUCUUUGUCUGUGUCUGUGUCUGUCUGUAUCUGUGUCUGUGUCUGUGUCUGUGUCUGCGUCUGCGUUUGCGUUUGUGUCUGUGUCUGUGUCUGUGUCUGUGUCUGUGUCUGUCUGUGUCUGUAUGUGUGCGUCUGUGUCUGUGUCUGUGUCUGUGUCUGUGUCUGUGUCUGUGUCUGUGUGUCUGUGUCUGUCUGUGUCUGCGUCUGCGUUUGUGUCUAUGUCUGUGUCUGUGUCUGUGUCUGUGUCUGUCUGUGUCUGUAUGUGUCUGCGUCUGUGUCUGUGUCUGUGUCUGUGUCUGUGUCUGUGUCUGUGUGUGUGUGUCUGUGUCUGUCUGUGUCUGCGUCUGCGUUUGUGUCUAUGUCUGUGUCUGUGUCUGUGUCUGUGUCUGUGUCUGUGUCUGUGUCUGUGUCUGUCUGCGUCUGCGUCUGCGCCUGCGUCUGCGUCUGCGUCUACGUCUGUGUCUGCGUCUGCGUUUGUGUCUGCGUCUGUGUCUGUGUCUGCAUCUGCAUCAGCGUCUGCGUUUGUGUCUGCGUCUGUCUGUGUCUGUGUCUGUGUCUGUGUCUGUGUCUGUGUCUGUGUCUGUGUCUGUGUCUGUGUCGGUGUCUGCGUCUGUGUCUGUGUCUGUGUCUGCGUUUGUGUUUGUGUCUGUGUCUGUCUGCGUCUGCGUCUGCGUCUGCGUCUGCGUCUGCGCCUGCGCCUGUGUCUGCGUCUGCGUCUACGUCUGUGUCUGUGUCUGCAUCUGCAUCUGCAUCUGCAUCUGCAUCUGCAUCUGCAUCUGCGUUUGUGUCUGUGUCUGUGUCUGCGAUGUCUGCGGUGUCUGCGUCUCUGUCUGUGUUUUUCUGUGUCUGUGUCUGUAUCUGCAUCUGCGUCUGCGUUUGUGUCUGUGUUUGUGUCUGUGUUCUGUCUCUGUGUCUGCAGUGUCUGUGUCUGCAGUGUCUGUGUCUGCAUCCGCAUCUGCAUCUGCGUCUGCGUUUGUGUCUGCGUCUGCGUCUGUGUCUGUGUCUGUGUCUGUGUCUGUGUCUGCGCCUGUGUCUGUGUGUCUGUCUGUGUCUGUCUGUGUCUGUGGUGUCUGUCUCUUUGUCUGCAGUGUCUAUGUCUGUGUCUGUAUCUGUGUCUGUGUCUGUGUCUGUGUCUGUGUGUCUGUCUGUGUUUGUCUGUGUCUGUGGUGUCUGCCUCUGUGUCUGUGUCUGCAGUGUCUGCAUCUGCAUCAGCGUCUGCGUUUGUGUCUGCGUCUGUCUGUGUCUGUGUCUGCGAUGUCUGUGUCUGCGUCUGUGUCUGUGUCUGUCUCUGUCUCUGUGGUGUCUGUGUCUGCGUCUGUGUCUGUGUCUGCUUCUCUGUCUGUGUCUGUCUGUGUUUGCAUCUGCGUCUGCAUUUGUGUCUGUGUGUCUGUCUGUGUCUGUGUCUUUGUCUGUGUCUGUCUGUGUCUGCGUCUGCGUCUGUGUCUGUGUCUGUGUCUGUGUCUGUGUCUGUGUCUGUUUCUGUGUCUGUGUCUGUGUCUAUGUCUGUGUCUGUGUCUGUGUCUGUCUGUGUCUGUGUCUGUGUCUGUGUCUGCGUCUGUGUCUGUGUCUGUGUCUGUGUCUGUCUGUGUCUGUCUGUGUCUGUCUGUGUCUGUGUCUGCGUCUGUGUCUGUGUCUGUGUCUGUGUCUGUGUCUGUGUCUGUGUCUGUGUCUGUGUCUGUGUGUCUGUGUCUGUGUCUGUCUGUGUCUGUCUGUGUCUGUCUGCGUCUGUGUCUCUGUGUCUGCAGUUUCUGUGUCUGCAGUUUCUGUGUCUGCAUCUGCAUCAGCGUCUGCGUUUGUGUCUGCGUUUGUGUCUGCGUCUGCAUCUGUCUGUGUCUGUGUCUGUGUCUGUGUCUAUGUCUGUGUCUGUGUCUGUGUCUGUGUCUGUGUCUGUGUCUGUGUCUGUGUCUGUGUCUGUGUCUGUGUCUGUGUCUGUGUCUGUGUCUGCAUCUGCAUCUGCAUCUGUAUCUGCAUCUGCAUCAGCUUCUGCGUUUGUGUCUGCAUCUGGGUCUGCGUCUGUCUGGGUCUGUGUCUGCGUCUGUGUCUGUGUCUGUGUCUGUGUGUCUGUGUCUGUGUCUGCGUCUGCGUCUGCGUCUGCGUCUGCGUCUGCGUCUGCGUCUGUCUCUAUCUCUGUGUCUGUGUCUGCGGUGUCUGUGUCUGUGUCUGCGGUGUCUGUGUCUGCGUCUGUGUCUGUGUCUGUGUCUGUGUCUGUGUCUGUGUCUGUGUCUGUGUCUGCGGUGUCUGUGUCUGCUUCUCUGUCUGUGUUUGCAUCUGCGUCUGCAUUUGUGUCUGUGUGUCUGUCUGUGUCUGUGUCUGUGUCUGUGUCUGUGUCUGUGUCUGUGUCUGUGUCUGUGUCUGUGUCUUUGUCUGUGUCUGUCUGUGUCUGCGUCUGCGGCUGCGUCUGCGUCUGUGUCUGUGUCUGUGUCUGUGUCUGUCUCUGUCUGUGUCUGUGUCUGUGUCUGUGUUUGUGUCUGUGUCUGUGUCUGCGUCUGUGUCUGUGUCUGCGCCUGUGUCUGCGUUUGCGUUUGUGUCUGUCUGCGCCUGCGUCUACGUCUGCGUCUGCGUCUGCGUUUGUGUCUGCGUCGGUGUCUGUGUCUGCAUCUGCGUCUGCAUCUGCGUUUUCGUCUGUGUCUGUGUCUGUGUCUGCGUCUGCGUCUGCGUCUGUGUCUGUGUCUGUGUGUCUGCAUCUGCCAGUGGGGGGCCGUCAUUCGUAUCAAUGGGAUAAGCUGAGGCUUGCCAUUCACCUUGGCUCGAGCCAGUGUUUAGGGCGAGCAAUAGCCAUAAUCACACCAAUCCUCUCAAAACCUGCCCUCUGCCUGAGCCCAGCUCAGCCAAGGGCACAGAUUACCACAGAAAAAACAACUCAGGGACCAGAGCGGCCGCGUCCAGCGGAUAUGAGAGGCAGCGCCUCUAUUCCCC
This 4305-nucleotide long non-coding RNA is filed under the name Betta splendens (Siamese fighting fish). Its description in RNAcentral is "lncRNA (ENSBSLG00000003401.1)". Lineage: Eukaryota; Metazoa; Chordata; Actinopteri; Anabantiformes; Osphronemidae. The record is from RNAcentral.